This 747-nucleotide ribosomal RNA is filed under the name bacterium 21F07-MB1-6a. RNAcentral's name for it is "bacterial SSU rRNA". It matches the Rfam family "Bacterial small subunit ribosomal RNA", at positions 721 to 1474 of the family's 1533-position model. The record is from RNAcentral.
GCAGCUUCUNGCAUCAUACUGACACUGAGCUCGAAAGCGUGGGUAGCAAACAGGAUUAGAUNCCUGGUAGUCACGCGUAAACGAUGUCUACUAGUCGUUGGGUCCUUGAGGACUUAGUGACGCAGCUAACGCAAUAAGUAGACCGCCUGGGGAGUACGGCCGCAAGGUUAAAACUCAAAUGAAUUGACGGGGGCCCGCACAAGCGGUGGAGCAUGUGGUUUAAUUCGAUGCAACGCGAAGAACCUUACCUGGUCUUGACAUAUCUAGAAUCCUGCAGAGAUGCGGGAGUGCCUUCGGGAAUUAGAAUACAGGUGCUGCAUGGCUGUCGUCAGCUCGUGUCGUGAGAUGUUGGGUUAAGUCCCGCAACGAGCGCAACCCUUGUCCUUAGUUACCAGCGGGUUAAGCCGGGAACUCUAAGGAUACUGCCAGUGACAAACUGGAGGAAGGCGGGGAGGACGUCAAGUCAUCAUGGCCCUUACGACCAGGGCUACACACGUGCUACAAUGGUAGGUACAGAGGGCAGCUACACAGCGAUGUGAUGCGAAUCUCAAAAAGCCUAUCGUAGUCCAGAUUGGAGUCUGCAACUCGACUCCAUGAAGUAGGAAUCGCUAGUAAUCGCGGAUCAGAAUGCCGCGGUGAAUACGUUCCCGGCCCUUGUACACACCGCCCGUCACACCAUGGGAGUUGAUUUCCCCAGAAGUGGAUAGCUUAACCUUCGGGAGGCGUACACCAUAGAGUGAUCCGUUU